UACGAAGGGGGCUAGCGUUGCUCGGAAUCACUGGGCGUAAAGCGCACGUAGGCGGACUCUUAAGUCGGUGGUGAAAUCCUGGAGCUCAACUCCAGAACUGCCUUCGAUACUGAGAGUCUUGAGUCCGGGGAGAGGUGAGUGGAACUGCGAGUGUAGAGGUGAAAUUCGUAGAUAUUCGCAAGAACACCAGUGGCGAAGGCGGAUCUCUGGGCCUGUCCUGACGCUGAGGCGCGAAAGCUAGGGGAGCGAACAGG
RNAcentral lists this ribosomal RNA (254 nucleotides) under uncultured bacterium. RNAcentral's name for it is "partial 16S ribosomal RNA". It matches the Rfam family "Bacterial small subunit ribosomal RNA", at positions 524 to 776 of the family's 1533-position model. The record is from RNAcentral.